RNAcentral lists this ribosomal RNA (253 nucleotides) under uncultured bacterium. RNAcentral's name for it is "partial 16S ribosomal RNA". It matches the Rfam family "Bacterial small subunit ribosomal RNA", at positions 524 to 776 of the family's 1533-position model. The record is from RNAcentral.
UACGUAGGGGGCAAGCGUUGUCCGGAAUCAUUGGGCGUAAAGCGCGCGUAGGCGGCUCGGUAAGUCCGCUGUAAAAGUCCAGGGCUCAACCCUGGAAAGCCGGUGGAUACUGUCGGGCUAGAGUCCGGAAGAGGCGAGUGGAAUUCCUGGUGUAGCGGUGGAAUGCGCAGAUAUCAGGAGGAACACCGAUGGCGAAGGCAGCUCGCUGGGACGGUACUGACGCUGAGGAACGAAAGCGUGGGGAGCGAACAGG